Molecule: long non-coding RNA, 747 nt
Filed under: Equus asinus (donkey)
Lineage: Eukaryota; Metazoa; Chordata; Mammalia; Perissodactyla; Equidae
Description: lncRNA (ENSEASG00005034764.1)
Source: RNAcentral
CAACAUUGACGGACUGAUGGCUUUGCCCUGCAGUUGCCUAAUCCAAUGAAAGAACAUAGAAUAUUCGAGAAAGGGCUGAGGACAACUAGAACAUGGCGUUCUCCUGGCAACUCUGAUGGGCUCAGGGAUGGCCACGGACCUAAGCAGGCCAAUCAGAGCCAAUAACUUUCAAUUCUGGGACUUCCUUCUGUUUGAGGCCUUGAGGAGACCCCAUGAGGAAGAUACCAUAAUUUGUGCUCUUUCACAGAUGAGGGAACUGAGGCACAAUGGGGCGCUGGGGCGAUGAAGACUGAACUGGGUUAAUAUAAUCCUCCAGUGACUCAUCCGGGGAGAGGACCUGUGAUGGAUCAUUAAGCUGUCUUGGAACUGAUUUCAGGCCCACGCCCCCAAGAUGAAUGUUCUCAAUUUGUUUAUCGGGUCCCCAACAAUAGGCCACUAUUCUUCCCCACAACUCGGUUGCACAAUCUUUCCCCUCGUGUCUUUCAGCCACCUACUGAAAAUCUGUCUGUGCACUGAGCACGCGCUCCGCAUCCCUCUACCAAAUGCCCACCCGGCACUUCAUCCCCUGUCUUUGAUGGGGAUGCUCACCAUCUUCUUGACAAGCUCGACUCUGCUCACCAGGAUCCCCCUAAAAUGGAGGCACUCGUUCUCCCUCCUGAGCCCUCAUGCGGGCAGAUUUUGUUCUCUCUCCCUCCUAAAUCUUCUCACCCUCCCCAGCUCCAAACUGGCUCUAGACCUCUGAAUUCU